UACCGGAUGAUGUCGUAAGACCAAAGUAUUUAUCGGCAAAGGAUGACGCCCGCGUAGGAUUAGGUAGUUGGUGGGUAAAGGCCUACCAAGCCGACGAUCCUUAGCUGGUCUGAGAGGAUGAUCAGCCACACUGGGACUGAGACACGGCCCAGACUCCUACGGGAGGCAGCAGUGGGGAAUAUUGGACAAUGGGCGAAAGCCUGAUCCAGCAAUGCCGCGUGAGUGAUGAAGGCCUUCGGGUUGUAAAGCUCUUUUACCAGGGAUGAUAAUGACAGUACCUGGAGAAUAAGCUCCGGCUAACUCCGUG
Molecule: ribosomal RNA, 307 nt
Filed under: uncultured bacterium
Lineage: Bacteria
Description: bacterial SSU rRNA
Rfam family: Bacterial small subunit ribosomal RNA
Source: RNAcentral